UCUCCCGGUCUCGCGUCGUUACCGCUGCGUGAAGCGGUAAGUCGCGCGCGGGUCGGCGAUUCACUCUGGGGGUCUCCGCCGCUGAGCCCUCCUGAAAGACUGACUGGCGGAAACUGGGACUGGAGUGUGAGCAUCUGAGGGGCUCUCCAGUGGGGCUUGGAGAGGAAUGUCUCAAAUGACUUUUCUUGAAAGCUGAGGGUGGCAUCUUCUGAUCAAUCAUGUCAUCAAUUGCUAGAAAUAUGAGGACUCUCCAGAAGAUCAAGUACCGUGUAGUAGUUACCAUGCACAGGCCCCAUAGAGCCCUGGCCUUGGAGAAUGCCCUAUUCACCAACCCAAAAGAAGGUCCCACGUGACAAAGUUUGGAUUAGACAUUACAAAUGGCUUCCAAUGGACUACUUGCCAGACUUUGUCAUGGGAACCAUCUGAUGAGCAGAACAAAGCGCAAGUGCAUAAGCAACUUCCAAUGAGAACCUCUGUAUGGGCUUGGCCCAGGGAUCUUGAAACCCUGGGAAGACCUAAAUAUAAACAAAAUUUUGCAAAGGAGAAGGGAAUCAUGAACAAAUCACCUUUCUAUAAGACACCACAAACGAUGACUGGAGAUCUGAAUUGGAAAUGUAUCUCUGUCAGGAAUCUUCCUCUGACUACAAGCUUCAAGGACAGGAACAUCAACCUUCUCUCUAUCCUCUCCUUCCUAUUCUGCAAGAGGAGACAGUACUCUAAUUGCAGGCAGAGAUCCACAUUUACGGCCACUGCAGCCUUGUGACCCAAGGCUCUGGAAUGGAUCAGCCCUCCUACUCACUCCCUCCUGCACACACCGUGUCUCCAUGGAAACAGCUUGUCAGGCCCUGUUUGGCUGCAGGUUCUGAAGACCUCUCAUCUGCAGCCCCAGUCCUGCACAGAUUCAGUCUUAAUAAGCCAGGCUUCUAAGGAGGAACUUGUACUAGGAGGCCCAUCCUCUCUAGCUGGUGGGGUCUGGAAUUGUCCUUAAGUCUCCUUUGGAGUAUACGUGGGGAGUCCUGAAUGCUACUGAGUUGCCCUGACCUUCCAACACUGAUAUUCAGGUCAAUGGCAGGGUUUCCAUCCUGGGUUUCUGCUUCAACCUGAACUCAUCAUCUCCUUCUAGCAAGCCUUCUGCUCCCAUCAUCUCUCCCCACCCACUAAAGGUGAAAGUCAUUCUGAGCUCUACAGGCCCCACCUGUGGCUAAUCACCAAGAGUCUUCUGUUGUUGGGCAUCAUUCAUCCAUCAGAUCGGAUCAGGCAUUUGCUACACUGCCAGGACACUGCGACUUGGACUGCUGGCCACUGUCCUUGGGGGUACAUCUACAAAUGGUUAACAUUGGAAGUAAAGAGGGCAGCGUGAUGCUGUGAGGAUGACCCUCCAUGUGUGAAAAUAACUGAGCAACGAGCAGAGCAGCUGUCUCAUCAUUGUCCCUAUCACUGGGAUUUCUUCAGGUGACCAAUAGAUAAGUCCAAUCCUACUUACAAGAGCUGCAAGCAAAGAAUGGAAAUUUCCAAUUGCAGCAUCAAGGGCUGCUGUUCUGCUGACUGUCUUGCUCAGUCGGGGUCAUCUGUUUCUCUAAGACAUCAAGGAAUGCCAAGAUCCUCGAUUGCUCUUGGGAACAAGUAUACUGCUGUGGCAUGAAGUGGAAGGUAUAAUUUGGAGCCAGAUGAGAGAAAGAAGACUCCUUUCAGA
Molecule: non-coding RNA, 1693 nt
Organism: Delphinapterus leucas (beluga whale)
Lineage: Eukaryota; Metazoa; Chordata; Mammalia; Artiodactyla; Monodontidae
Source: RefSeq, a predicted model, not a curated record